GUGAAGAACGUAGCGAAAUGCGAUAAGUAGUGUGAAUUGCAGAAUUCAGUGAAUCAUCGAAUCUUUGAACGCACAUUGCGCCUCCUGGUAUUCCGGGAGGCAUGCCUGUUCGAGCGUCAUCAAAAACCUCAACCCAUGAUUUAUUGUGAGUUGGUUCUGCAUUGGACUCCUUGUGGGUCCUUUGCGAAAUCCAAUGGCGAAGAGCCACGCAACCAAAGCGUAGUAUAACUAUUUCGUUAUGGAAGCGUGGGUGCCUCUGCCGUAACCCCCAAUUUCUUAGUUUUUGACCUCGGAUCAGGUAGGGAUACCCGCUGAACUUAAGCAUAUCAAUAAGCGGAGGA
This 341-nucleotide unclassified non-coding RNA is filed under the name soil metagenome. Its description in RNAcentral is "partial contains 5.8S ribosomal RNA, internal transcribed spacer 2, and large subunit ribosomal RNA". The stretch from base 2 to 119 matches the Rfam family "5.8S ribosomal RNA", at positions 37 to 154 of the family's 154-position model. The record is from RNAcentral.